UAGGGAAUCUUCCACAAUGGGCGCAAGCCUGAUGGAGCAACGCCGCGUGAGUGAAGAAGGUCUUCGGAUCGUAAACUCUGUUGUUAGAGAAGAACAUGCAGGAGAGUAACUGUUCUUGUAUUGACAGUAUCUAACCAGAAAGCCACGGCUAACUACGUGCCAG
Molecule: ribosomal RNA, 163 nt
Filed under: uncultured bacterium
Lineage: Bacteria
Description: partial 16S rRNA
Rfam family: Bacterial small subunit ribosomal RNA
Source: RNAcentral